This 433-nucleotide ribosomal RNA is filed under the name uncultured bacterium. Its description in RNAcentral is "partial 16S ribosomal RNA". It matches the Rfam family "Bacterial small subunit ribosomal RNA", at positions 29 to 507 of the family's 1533-position model. The record is from RNAcentral.
AACGAACGCUGGCGGCAUGCCUAACACAUGCAAGUCGAACGAGACCUUCGGGUCUAGUGGCGCACGGGUGCGUAACGCGUGGGAACCUGCCCUUAGGUUCGGAAUAACUCCCCGAAAGGGGUGCUAAUACCGGAUAAUGUCUUCGGACCAAAGAUUUAUCGCCUUUGGAUGGGCCCGCGUUGGAUUAGCUAGUUGGUAGGGUAAAAGCCUACCAAGGCGACGAUCCAUAGCUGGUCUGAGAGGAUGAUCAGCCACACUGGGACUGGGACACGGCCCAGACUCCUACGGGAGGCAGCAGUGGGGAAUAUUGGACAAUGGGCGAAAGCAUGAUCCAGCAAUGCCGCGUGAGUGAUGAAGGCCUUAGGGUUGUAAAGCUCUUUUACCCGGGAUGAUAAUGACAGUACCGGGAGAAUAAGCUCCGGCUAACUCCGUG